RNAcentral lists this ribosomal RNA (301 nucleotides) under uncultured bacterium. RNAcentral's name for it is "partial 16S ribosomal RNA". It matches the Rfam family "Bacterial small subunit ribosomal RNA", at positions 509 to 809 of the family's 1533-position model. The record is from RNAcentral.
CAGUCGCCGCGGUAAUACAGAGGGUGCAAGCGUUAAUCGGAAUGACUGGGCGUAAAGGGCGCGUAGGCGGCGGCCAAAGUCAGGCGUGAAAUUCCCGGGCUCAACCUGGGAACUGCAUCUUAUACUGCGUAGCUGGAGUGCAGUAGAGGGUAGUGGAAUUUCCGGUGUAGCGGUGAAAUGCGUAGAUAUUGGGAAGAACACCGGUGGCGAAGGCGGCAACCUGGUCCUUGACUGACGCUGAGGCGCGAAAGCUAGGGGAGCAAACAGGAUUAGAUACCCGUGUAGUCCCGUCUCUUAUACA